Molecule: ribosomal RNA, 234 nt
Filed under: uncultured Actinomycetales bacterium
Lineage: Bacteria; Bacillati; Actinomycetota; Actinomycetes; Actinomycetales
Description: partial 16S ribosomal RNA
Rfam family: Bacterial small subunit ribosomal RNA
Source: RNAcentral
UGGCGAACGGGUGAGUAACACGUGGGUGAUCUGCCCUGCACUCUGGGAUAAGCCUGGGAAACUGGGUCUAAUACCGGAUAGGACCAUGCUUUAGUGUGUGUGGUGGAAAGUUUUUCGGUGUAGGAUGAGCCCGCGGCCUAUCAGCUUGUUUGUGGGGUAAUGGCCUACCAAGGCGGCGACGGGUAGCCGGACUGAGAGGUUGGUCGGCCACAUUGUGACUGAGAUACGGCCCAG